RNAcentral lists this long non-coding RNA (206 nucleotides) under Panax ginseng (ginseng). Its description in RNAcentral is "long non-coding RNA (PGIN_LNC006403)". The record is from RNAcentral. Lineage: Eukaryota; Viridiplantae; Streptophyta; Magnoliopsida; Apiales; Araliaceae.
CUCAUUAAGGACCUCUUCUCAAAUUUGGAGUUCGGGCGAGGAGAUUGUUUGCUCAGCAUCUUAAACCCUCGUUCUCGGGAUCUACCGGCCGAGAAGAGGGUGAAGAAAAUGUCAACCGAGGGAGUAAUCCCUAGCUCAUGGCAAAAGGCAAUGAAUGCCAGUAUGUGGAUGUAGGAGUUGGGCACUAGCUGAGCGAAACCCACUCC